This 600-nucleotide ribosomal RNA is filed under the name uncultured Alphaproteobacteria bacterium. RNAcentral describes it as "bacterial SSU rRNA". It matches the Rfam family "Bacterial small subunit ribosomal RNA", at positions 54 to 699 of the family's 1533-position model. Lineage: Bacteria; Pseudomonadati; Pseudomonadota; Alphaproteobacteria. The record is from RNAcentral.
CAUGCAAGUCGAACGAAGUAGCAAUACUUAGUGGCAGACGGGUGAGUAACAUGUAGGUAUCUGCCCUUUGGCCUGGAAUAACACGAGGAAACUUGUGCUAAUACCGGAUAAGUCUUUACGGAGAAAGCUUUAUGCACCAUUGGAUGAGCCUGCACUUGAUUAGUUUGUUGGUGGGGUAAUGGCCUACCAAGACUGUGAUCAAUAGCUGAUUUGAGAGGAUGAUCAGCCACAUUGGGACUGAGACACGGCCCAAACUCCUACGGGAGGCAGCAGUGGGGAAUCUUGCACAAUGGAGGAAACUCUGAUGCAGCGAUGCCGCGUGAGUGAAGAAGGCCUUUGGGUUGUAAAGCUCUUUCGUCGGGGAAGAAAAUGACUGUACCCGAAUAAGAAGGUCCGGCUAACUUCGUGCCAGCAGCCGCGGUGAUACGAAGGGACCUAGCGUAGUUCGGAAUUACUGGGCUUAAAGAGUUCGUAGGUGGUUGAAAAAGUUGGUGGUGAAAUCCCAGAGCUUAACUCUGGAACUGCCAUCAAAACUUUUCAGCUAGAGUAUGAUAGAGGAAAGCAGAAUUUCUAGUGUAGAGGUGAAAUUCGUAGAUAUUA